ACAACUGGCUUCUGGCCAAGUUACAAGUCAUUUGAUUUGAACCUUCCAGCAGAGAUGGUUAAAUGUGUUGAAGUUUUUAGGGAAUUCUAUCAAACAAAAACAAAACACAGAAAACUUACCUUUAUAUACUCUCUGGGUACUUGUAACCUUAUUGGGAAAUUUGAACCAAAAACCAUGGAACUGAUUGUGACCACCUAUCAGGCUUCUGCACUGUUGCUGUUCAACUCUUCUGAUAGAUUGAGUUAUUCAGAGAUCAUGAUUCAAUUGAACUUGACCGAUGAUGAUGUUGUUAGACUGCUCCAUUCUUUGUCAUGUGCAAAGUAUAAGAUUCUAAGCAAAGAACCAAAUACAAAAUCAAUCUCUCCUACUGAUUACUUUGAAUUCAACUCAAAGUUCACUGACG
RNAcentral lists this unclassified non-coding RNA (403 nucleotides) under Hevea brasiliensis (rubber tree). The record is from RNAcentral. Lineage: Eukaryota; Viridiplantae; Streptophyta; Magnoliopsida; Malpighiales; Euphorbiaceae.